RNAcentral lists this ribosomal RNA (762 nucleotides) under uncultured bacterium. Its description in RNAcentral is "bacterial SSU rRNA". It matches the Rfam family "Bacterial small subunit ribosomal RNA", at positions 28 to 776 of the family's 1533-position model. The record is from RNAcentral.
AUUGAACGCUGGCGGCAGGCUUAACACAUGCAAGUCGAACGAUAACAGGAAGAAAGCCUGCUUUCUUUGCUGACGAGUGGCGGACGGGUGAGUAAUGCUUGGGAAUCUGUUUUAUGGAGGGGGAUAACUACGGGAAACUGUAGCUAAUACCGCGUAAUAUCGAGAGAUUAAAUGUGUGGGACCGCAAGGCCACAUGCCAUGAAGUGAGCCCAAGUGGGAUUAGAUAGUUGGUGAGGUAAUGGCUCACCAAGUCGGCGAUCUCUAGCUGGUCUGAGAGGAUGACCAGCCACACUGGGACUGAGACACGGCCCAGACUCCUACGGGAGGCAGCAGUGGGGAAUAUUGCACAAUGGGCGCAAGCCUGAUGCAGCCAUGCCGCGUGAAUGAAGAAGGCCUUCGGGUUGUAAAGUUCUUUCGGUGGUGAGGAAGGUUGACGUGUUAAUAGCACGUUGAUUUGACGUUAGCCACAGAAGAAGCACCGGCUAACUCCGUGCCAGCAGCCGCGGUAAUACGGAGGGUGCGAGCGUUAAUCGGAAUAACUGGGCGUAAAGGGCACGCAGGCGGUGACUUAAGUGAGGUGUGAAAGCCCUGGGCUUAACCUAGGAAUUGCAUUUCAUACUGGGUCGCUAGAGUAUUUUAGGGAGGGGUAGAAUUCCACGUGUAGCGGUGAAAUGCGUAGAGAUGUGGAGGAAUACCGAAGGCGAAGGCAGCCCCUUGGGAAUAUACUGACGCUCAUGUGCGAAAGCGUGGGGAGCAAACAGG